Regulatory RNA element from Planococcus rifietoensis, 42 nucleotides. It matches the Rfam family "Ribosomal protein L19 leader". Rfam says of the family: This family is a putative r-protein leader autoregulatory structure found in B. subtilis and other low-GC Gram-positive bacteria. The record is from Rfam. NCBI's taxonomy places the organism in Bacteria, Bacillati, Bacillota, Bacilli, Caryophanales, Caryophanaceae.
ACGGUGUUCCGCUGCAAAGAUUACGGAUUGCAAGAGCAUCUG